UAGCGAAAUUCCUUGUCGGGUAAGUUCCGACCUGCACGAAUGGCGUAACGAUGGCGGCGCUGUCUCCACCCGAGACUCAGUGAAAUUGAAAUCGCUGUGAAGAUGCAGUGUAUCCGCGGCUAGACGGAAAGACCCCGUGAACCUUUACUAUAGCUUUGCACUGGACUUUGAAUUUGCUUGUGUAGGAUAGGUGGGAGGCUUUGAAGCGUGGACGCCAGUCUGCGUGGAGCCAUCCUUGAAAUACCACCCUGGCAACUUUGAGGUUCUAACUCAGGUCCGUUAUCCGGAUCGAGGACAGUGUAUGGUGGGUAGUUUGACUGGGGCGGUCUCCUCCUAAAGAGUAACGGAGGAGUACGAAGGUGCGCUCAGACCGGUCGGAAAUCGGUCGUAGAGUAUAAAGGCAAAAGCGCGCUUGACUGCGAGACAGACACGUCGAGCAGGUACGAAAGUAGGUCUUAGUGAUCCGGUGGUUCUGUAUGGAAGGGCCAUCGCUCAACGGAUAAAAGGUACUCCGGGGAUAACAGGCUGAUACCGCCCAAGAGUUCAUAUCGACGGCGGUGUUUGGCACCUCGAUGUCGGCUCAUCACAUCCUGGGGCUGAAGCCGGUCCCAAGGGUAUGGCUGUUCGCCAUUUAAAGUGGUACGCGAGCUGGGUUUAGAACGUCGUGAGACAGUUCGGUCCCUAUCUGCCGUGGACGUUUGAGAUUUGAGAGGGGCUGCUCCUAGUACGAGAGGACCGGAGUGGACGAACCUCUGGUGUUCCGGUUGUCACGCCAGUGGCAUUGCCGGGUAGCUAUGUUCGGAAGAGAUAACCGCUGAAAGCAUCUAAGCGGGAAACUUGCCUCAAGAUGAGAUCUCACUGGAGCCUUGAGCUCCCUGAAGGGCCGUCGAAGACUACGACGUUGAUAGGUUGGGUGUGUAAGCGCUGUGAGGCGUUGAGCUAACCAAUACUAAUUGCCCGUGAGGCUUGACCAU
RNAcentral lists this ribosomal RNA (974 nucleotides) under seawater metagenome. RNAcentral's name for it is "bacterial LSU rRNA". It matches the Rfam family "Bacterial large subunit ribosomal RNA", at positions 1957 to 2925 of the family's 2925-position model. The record is from RNAcentral.